AAGAAGCAAUUCCCUCUUUCAAAUUUACAGCAAUGGUUAUGUAUCAAGACACGUAACGUAGGACUUCUAUAGACUUUUGGAAAAAUGUAAUGGAAACUUUGGUAUAAAUGUAAUGAAAACUAUUGUAUUCAUUUUGGUUAAAAAGUCUUGGUUGUCUUGCUAAAUUAUGGUUCAUAGUGAUUGAAAUGGCCUUGUGAUAUAUGUAGUCAUGGUGUAAAUGCUUGUGAAUGUAUGUAUGAAACUUGAAC
Molecule: long non-coding RNA, 248 nt
Filed under: Lathyrus oleraceus (garden pea)
Lineage: Eukaryota; Viridiplantae; Streptophyta; Magnoliopsida; Fabales; Fabaceae
Description: Pisum sativum (pea) long non-coding RNA (PSAT_LNC039384)
Source: RNAcentral